Molecule: long non-coding RNA, 1089 nt
Organism: Syngnathoides biaculeatus (alligator pipefish)
Lineage: Eukaryota; Metazoa; Chordata; Actinopteri; Syngnathiformes; Syngnathidae
Exons: 3
Source: RefSeq, a predicted model, not a curated record
CAGGAAAUGCCUCCGUUGAGCGCCGCCAAUCUAGGCAAUGGGAGCCUUGUGCAAGCGUGAUUCAUUUGCAGUGGAAUACGACAUCAAAGCCAGAAGGUGCACGAGCUCUAUACAAACGUACUGAGCAAACUGGGGCGUUGAAUUCCAUCGUCAACCGAAGAAUUGAACAUCCCAUCGGGGGGCUGAUGUCACAUCUGGCUAUUCCUGAUUGGCUUUCAGCAUCAAGCCUGGUCGCUGUCACGCCCCCAGAGAGCCACAACCCCAACGUGAUUGGUAGGUUCGUCAGCUCUGCACACAACACUGUAAAAGUGGCAUUCAUAUAAAAUUUCAAGGCCGCACUAUUAUUUAACUUUCCUAGUAAGGUGGGGGCCACAAAAUAUCGUCUCGGGUGCCAGAAAUGGCCCGUGGGCCACAAGUUUGAGACCCAUGUUUUAAACAUUGCCUGGACAGUACGGUACACUAAAUAGUUGUCAGGAUGUACGUAAGGUAUGUGUUGCAUUGAGGACUGCAGAUGAACAAUAACCGAAAUCCUGCCACUUCAUAAAUUUUGAGAGUAAAUAACAGCAGACACACCACGAGAAAAGAAGAAUGCAAAUGAAACCGUCCCCUUCCCACGCAGUAUUUUUCGAUGCAGAAGUCUGACUCAUCACGUAGGAUGUAAACGAAGCAAAAUGACAGAUCAAAGAUCAGGGUAAUGGACUCGGGCACACACGCGAAGGGCAACAACACGUCGCCACGGUCGCUCGUUGCGGUUCUCUCCGUGUCUUCUGCGGUCCAGUUAGGCGGCGAGGCGCCCACCAAGUCUGCGCGCGGCUUCGACGAGAGCCGGGCCCGCCCGGCGUUUCCGUGGCCGAUCCGGCAACCUGCAGCUGGCCCACGCGGAUCCCGACCGGAGGGCAGGGCCCUCCGCCUACGUUGUUGUCUCAAUGAUGCGGCAGCUCACGUAAUGAUUGAAACGGCACCGCGGAUUGAGAAAUGUGUGAUCGGCGGAGGCUUGAAGGUGUUCACGCAGAUGUUUGCCGCAGCAACUUUAGCUCAUCUAUUUGAUUUUUUUUUUUUUUUUUUUGAACCCAAAAACCGAGGGGUCGU